Molecule: small nuclear RNA, 99 nt
Filed under: Canis lupus familiaris (dog)
Lineage: Eukaryota; Metazoa; Chordata; Mammalia; Carnivora; Canidae
Source: RNAcentral
UAGCUUUGGCAGCACACAUACUAAAAUUGGAAUGAUACAGAGACGAGCAUGGCCCCUGCACAAAGUGACACACAAAUUCGUGAAAUGUUCCAUAUUUUU